GACAAACGCUGGCGGCGUGCUUAACACAUGCAAGUCGAACGAUGAACCCUUCGGGGGAAUUAGUGGCGAACGGGUGAGUAACACGUGGAUAAUCUACCUUACACACUGGGAUAAGCCUGGGAAACUGGGUCUAAUACCGGAUAUGACUAUAGUAAGCAUUUACUAUAGUGGAAAGUUUUUCGGUGUAAGAUGAGUCCGCGGCCUAUCAGUUUGUUGGCGGGGUAACAGCCCACCAAGACUAUGACGGGUAGCCGGCCUGAGAGGGUGAUCGGCCACACUGGGACUGAGAUACGGCCCAGACUCCUACGGGAGGCAGCAGUGGGGAAUAUUGCACAAUGGGCGAAAGCCUGAUGCAGCGACGCCGCGUGGGGGAAGAAGGCCUUCGGGUUGUAAACCUCUUUCGGCAGGGACGAAGCGAAAGUGACGGUACCUGAAGAAGAAGCACCGGCCAACUACGUGCCAGCAGCCGCAGUAAAAC
This 478-nucleotide ribosomal RNA is filed under the name uncultured bacterium. RNAcentral's name for it is "bacterial SSU rRNA". It matches the Rfam family "Bacterial small subunit ribosomal RNA", at positions 28 to 526 of the family's 1533-position model. The record is from RNAcentral.